This 437-nucleotide ribosomal RNA is filed under the name uncultured Oscillospiraceae bacterium. Its description in RNAcentral is "partial 16S ribosomal RNA". It matches the Rfam family "Bacterial small subunit ribosomal RNA", at positions 341 to 792 of the family's 1533-position model. Lineage: Bacteria; Bacillati; Bacillota; Clostridia; Eubacteriales; Oscillospiraceae. The record is from RNAcentral.
ACGGAAGGCAGCAGUGGGGAAUAUUGGGCAAUGGGCGAAAGCCUGACCCAGCGACGCCGCGUGCGGGAAGAAGGUCUUCGGAUUGUAAACCGCUGUAGACGGGGACGAAAUAAAUGACGGUACCUGUAAAGUAAGCCACGGCUAACUACGUGCCAGCAGCCGCGGUAAUACGUAGGUGGCGAGCGUUAUCCGGAUUUACUGGGUGUAAAGGGUGUGUAGGCGGGGAAUCAAGUCAGAUGUGAAAUCUAUGGGCUCAACUCAUAGCUUGCAUUUGAAACUGAUUUUCUUGAGUGUGGGAGAGGUAAAUGGAAUUCCCGGUGUAGCGGUGAAAUGCGUGGAUAUCGGGAGGAACACCAGUGGCGAAGGCGGCUUACUGGACCACAACUGACGCUGAGACACGAAAGCGUGGGGAGCAAACAGGAUUAGAUACCCUGGUA